This 492-nucleotide ribosomal RNA is filed under the name uncultured bacterium. RNAcentral's name for it is "partial 16S ribosomal RNA". It matches the Rfam family "Bacterial small subunit ribosomal RNA", at positions 29 to 507 of the family's 1533-position model. The record is from RNAcentral.
AGUGAACGCUGGCGGUAGGCCUAACACAUGCAAGUCGAACGGCAGCACAGUAAGAGCUUGCUCUUACGGGUGGCGAGUGGCGGACGGGUGAGGAAUACAUCGGAAUCUACUUUUUCGUGGGGGAUAACGUAGGGAAACUUACGCUAAUACCGCAUACGACCUACGGGUGAAAGCAGGGGAUCUUCGGACCUUGCGCGAUUGAAUGAGCCGAUGUCGGAUUAGCUAGUUGGCGGGGUAAAGGCCCACCAAGGCGACGAUCCGUAGCUGGUCUGAGAGGAUGAUCAGCAACACUGGAACUGAGACACGGUCCAGACUCCUACGGGAGGCAGCAGUGGGGAAUAUUGGACAAAGGGCGCAAGCCUGAUCCAGCCAUACCGCGUGGGUGAAGAAGGCCUUCGGGUUGUAAAGCCCUUUUGUUGGGAAAGAAAAGCAGCAGGUUAAUACCCCGCUGUUCUGACGGUACCCAAAGAAUAAGCACCGGCUAACUUCGUG